This 528-nucleotide long non-coding RNA is filed under the name Nicotiana benthamiana. RNAcentral describes it as "long non-coding RNA (NBEN_LNC009467)". Lineage: Eukaryota; Viridiplantae; Streptophyta; Magnoliopsida; Solanales; Solanaceae. The record is from RNAcentral.
CAAAAUGGCUCAAAGUAAGGCACAAAACUAGUAUAACAGGAGUCCAUAACCUCAAAAUUACAUAUACUCUUACACUUUUCCAAAUAUCUCAGACAUCAAAUACUAAAACUUAGCAAACUAUUUUCUGGAAACGGAAAAACAAGAUCGUACUGAAGACAGCUUCUAAUCGAACAAACUGAAUCAAACAUACUAAAAAAUUCUUCAAUUUAAAAGAAAAUCAGAGUUUCAAAGUAAGAGAAGCUUUAAGUUGCAAAUAAAAAAUAAGUUUUGAAGUAAGAAAAGCACUAACCAGAGAUUGAGGAAGAAUGAUUCUCUAUUUUGAAGAGAGAAGUGAUGGAGGCGGACUGAUGGAGCCUGGAGGAGAUCUUUGAUUUGGUUCUCUAUUUUAAAGUGAGAGGUGAUGGAGCCAGACUGGUGGAGCCUGAAGCAGAUAUUUGAUUUUUUAUUGAGGAAUAAUGAAGAAGUGAAGAAGAAGAAGAUAUGGGGAAGCAGAGGCGUAAAUUGAAAUUGGGGAACUAGGGCACUAAC